GGUUAAGCGACUAAGCGUACACGGUGGAUGCCCUGGCAGUCAGAGGCGAUGAAGGACGUGCUAAUCUGCGAUAAGCGUCGGUAAGGUGAUAUGAACCGUUAUAACCGGCGAUUUCCGAAUGGGGAAACCCAGUGUGUUUCGACACACUAUCAUUAACUGAAUCCAUAGGUUAAUGAGGCGAACCGGGGGAACUGAAACAUCUAAGUACCCCGAGGAAAAGAAAUCAACCGAGAUUCCCCCAGUAGCGGCGAGCGAACGGGGAGCAGCCCAGAGCCUGAAUCAGUGUGUGUGUUAGUGGAAGCGUCUGGAAAGGCGCGCGAUACAGGGUGACAGCCCCGUACACAAAAAUGCACAUGCUGUGAGCUCGAUGAGUAGGGCGGGACACGUGGUAUCCUGUCUGAAUAUGGGGGGACCAUCCUCCAAGGCUAAAUACUCCUGACUGACCGAUAGUGAACCAGUACCGUGAGGGAAAGGCGAAAAGAACCCCGGCGAGGGGAGUGAAAAAGAACCUGAAACCGUGUACGUACAAGCAGUGGGAGCACGCUUAGGCGUGUGACUGCGUACCUUUUGUAUAAUGGGUCAGCGACUUAUAUUCUGUAGCAAGGUUAACCGAAUAGGGGAGCCGAAGGGAAACCGAGUCUUAACUGGGCGUUAAGUUGCAGGGUAUAGACCCGAAACCCGGUGAUCUAGCCAUGGGCAGGUUGAAGGUUGGGUAACACUAACUGGAGGACCGAACCGACUAAUGUUGAAAAAUUAGCGGAUGACUUGUGGCUGGGGGUGAAAGGCCAAUCAAACCGGGAGAUAGCUGGUUCUCCCCGAAAGCUAUUUAGGUAGCGCCUCGUGAAUUCAUCUCCGGGGGUAGAGCACUGUUUCGGCAAGGGGGUCAUCCCGACUUACCAACCCGAUGCAAACUGCGAAUACCGGAGAAUGUUAUCACGGGAGACACACGGCGGGUGCUAACGUCCGUCGUGAAGAGGGAAACAACCCAGACCGCCAGCUAAGGUCCCAAAGUCAUGGUUAAGUGGGAAACGAUGUGGGAAGGCCCAGACAGCCAGGAUGUUGGCUUAGAAGCAGCCAUCAUUUAAAGAAAGCGUAAUAGCUCACUGGUCGAGUCGGCCUGCGCGGAAGAUGUAACGGGGCUAAACCAUGCACCGAAGCUGCGGCAGCGACGCUUAUGCGUUGUUGGGUAGGGGAGCGUUCUGUAAGCCUGUGAAGGUGUGCUGUGAGGCAUGCUGGAGGUAUCAGAAGUGCGAAUGCUGACAUAAGUAACGAUAAAGCGGGUGAAAAGCCCGCUCGCCGGAAGACCAAGGGUUCCUGUCCAACGUUAAUCGGGGCAGGGUGAGUCGACCCCUAAGGCGAGGCCGAAAGGCGUAGUCGAUGGGAAACAGGUUAAUAUUCCUGUACUUGGUGUUACUGCGAAGGGGGGACGGAGAAGGCUAUGUUGGCCGGGCGACGGUUGUCCCGGUUUAAGCGUGUAGGCUGGUUUUCCAGGCAAAUCCGGAAAAUCAAGGCUGAGGCGUGAUGACGAGGCACUACGGUGCUGAAGCAACAAAUGCCCUGCUUCCAGGAAAAGCCUCUAAGCAUCAGGUAACAUCAAAUCGUACCCCAAACCGACACAGGUGGUCAGGUAGAGAAUACCAAGGCGCUUGAGAGAACUCGGGUGAAGGAACUAGGCAAAAUGGUGCCGUAACUUCGGGAGAAGGCACGCUGAUAUGUAGGUGAAGUCCCUCGCGGAUGGAGCUGAAAUCAGUCGAAGAUACCAGCUGGCUGCAACUGUUUAUUAAAAACACAGCACUGUGCAAACACGAAAGUGGACGUAUACGGUGUGACGCCUGCCCGGUGCCGGAAGGUUAAUUGAUGGGGUCAGCGCAAGCGAAGCUCUUGAUCGAAGCCCCGGUAAACGGCGGCCGUAACUAUAACGGUCCUAAGGUAGCGAAAUUCCUUGUCGGGUAAGUUCCGACCUGCACGAAUGGCGUAAUGAUGGCCAGGCUGUCUCCACCCGAGACUCAGUGAAAUUGAACUCGCUGUGAAGAUGCAGUGUACCCGCGGCAAGACGGAAAGACCCCGUGAACCUUUACUAUAGCUUGACACUGAACAUUGAGCCUUGAUGUGUAGGAUAGGUGGGAGGCUUGGAAGUGUGGACGCCAGUCUGCAUGGAGCCGACCUUGAAAUACCACCCUUUAAUGUUUGAUGUUCUAACGUUGACCCGUAAUCCGGGUUGCGGACAGUGUCUGGUGGGUAGUUUGACUGGGGCGGUCUCCUCCUAAAGAGUAACGGAGGAGCACGAAGGUUGGCUAAUCCUGGUCGGACAUCAGGAGGUUAGUGCAAUGGCAUAAGCCAGCUUGACUGCGAGCGUGACGGCGCGAGCAGGUGCGAAAGCAGGUCAUAGUGAUCCGGUGGUUCUGAAUGGAAGGGCCAUCGCUCAACGGAUAAAAGGUACUCCGGGGAUAACAGGCUGAUACCGCCCAAGAGUUCAUAUCGACGGCGGUGUUUGGCACCUCGAUGUCGGCUCAUCACAUCCUGGGGCUGAAGUAGGUCCCAAGGGUAUGGCUGUUCGCCAUUUAAAGUGGUACGCGAGCUGGGUUUAGAACGUCGUGAGACAGUUCGGUCCCUAUCUGCCGUGGGCGCUGGAGAACUGAGGGGGGCUGCUCCUAGUACGAGAGGACCGGAGUGGACGCAUCACUGGUGUUCGGGUUGUCAUGCCAAUGGCACUGCCCGGUAGCUAAAUGCGGAAGAGAUAAGUGCUGAAAGCAUCUAAGCACGAAACUUGCCCCGAGAUGAGUUCUCCCUGACUCCUUGAGAGUCCUGAAGGAACGUUGAAGACGACGACGUUGAUAGGCCGGGUGUGUAAGCGCAGCGAUGCGUUGAGCUAACCGGUACUAAUGAACCGUGAGGCUUAACCUU
Molecule: ribosomal RNA, 2904 nt
Filed under: Escherichia coli
Lineage: Bacteria; Pseudomonadati; Pseudomonadota; Gammaproteobacteria; Enterobacterales; Enterobacteriaceae
Description: 23S ribosomal RNA
Rfam family: Bacterial large subunit ribosomal RNA
Source: RNAcentral